UGGGGAAUAUUGGACAAUGGGCGAAAGCCUGACCCAGCAACGCCGCGUGAAGGAUGAAGUCUCUCGGGAUGUAAACUUCGUAAGAAUAGGAAGAAUAAAUGACGGUACUAUUUGUAAGGUCCGGCUAACUACGUGCCAGCAGCCGCGGUAAUACGUAGGGACCAAGCGUUGUUCGGAUUUACUGGGCGUAAAGGGCGCGUAGGCGGCGUGGUAAGUCACUUGUGAAAUCUCCGAGCUUAACUCGGAACGGUCAAGUGAUACUGCUGUGCUAGAGUACAGAAGGGGCAAUCGGAAUUCUUGGUGUAGCGGUGAAAUGCGUAGAUAUCAAGAGGAACACCUGAGGUGAAGACGGGUUGCUGGGCUGAUACUGACGCUGAGGUGCGAAAGCGUGGGGAGCAAACAGGAUUAGAUACCCUCGUAGUCCCUGAGCGGGCUGGCAAGGCGCAU
Molecule: ribosomal RNA, 447 nt
Filed under: uncultured bacterium
Lineage: Bacteria
Description: bacterial SSU rRNA
Rfam family: Bacterial small subunit ribosomal RNA
Source: RNAcentral